RNAcentral lists this ribosomal RNA (2292 nucleotides) under Deshayesorchestia deshayesii. RNAcentral's name for it is "18S ribosomal RNA". It matches the Rfam family "Eukaryotic small subunit ribosomal RNA". The record is from RNAcentral. Lineage: Eukaryota; Metazoa; Arthropoda; Malacostraca; Amphipoda; Talitridae.
CCUAUCUGGUUGAUCCUGCCAGUAGCAUAUGCUUGUUUCAAAGGCUAAGCCAUGCAUGUCUAAGUAACAGUCGUGUUCACACGACGAUACCGCGGACGGCUCAUUAAAUCAGUCGUGGUCUAAAUGGGUCCGUCCUCACGGUAUACUUGGAUAACCGUGGUAAUUCCAGAGCUAAUACAUGCAACUCAUAUCCCGAAGUGCGCAAGCACCGACGGAAGCACUUAUUAGACCAAUGCCCUCGGCGCCGCGCACCUUGUGUGCGCGCGUCGCCACUCGCAUAAAUGGUGACUCUGGAUAAUUACCUAGACGAGCGCACGUAUCUGUUUCAACAGAACGGCGCCGCCUCUUUCGAGUGUCUGCCUUAUCAGCCAUCAAUCGCUCGUUAUGUGCGAACGAUGGCCUUGACGGGUAACGGGGAAUCAGUGUUCGAUUCCGGAGAGGCAGCCUGAGAAACGGCUACCACGUCUAAGGACGGCAGCAGGCACGCAAAUUACCCAAUCCCAGAACUCUGGGGAGGUAGUGACGAAAAAUAACGAUGUGGGCGCUCCUUCUGGGGCCCCACAAUCGGAAUGAGUAUGACUUAAAUAACCUGUCGAGAACCCACUGAAGGGCAAGUCUGGUGCCAGCAGCCGCGGUAAUUCCAGCUUCAGUAGCAUCUAUUAAAGUUGCUGCGGUUAAAAGGCUCGCAGUUGGAGCCACUGGUGUUUGGUAUAUGGAGCAGCUGGACGUUGGUUGCCUUCGUGCUCCCGUCCUGCUUGUCUGUUCCUGACUCUAUGGCACUGAAUAUGGAAAAACCUCCUCUGGUUCGGGCAUCUACUCAGAGUGCUUGGGUGGAGGUCUGUGUCUGGGGUCGUGGGCGUGCGUCUCGUGCGUGCGUUCUCGUGCUUCAGCACUUCCUCUUUUGCUCACCUCUGUGCUCUUACUCGGAGGGGGUGACUUCUGUGUCACCUUGGGUAAAUCAUGGUGCUCACAGCAGUCGUGCGGGCCCUGUGCCCUGUGAACAGUCUAUGCGGACUGAAUUGGUUUUGCAAGGCAUGACGAAACAUGACGUCGCUGCUGGUCGCGAGUGUGAGGGUGCAGUCUUCGUGGUUGUGCCGAGCGGUUUGCCAGUAGUGACGUAAUGAUCAAUGGAGACGGUAGCUGGCAUUGGUAUUGCGCGGCGAGAGGUGAAAUUCUGCGACCCCCGCAAGACCUCCUAAAGCGAAGGCGUCUGCCAAGGACGUGUUCACCAAUCAUGAACGAAAGUCAGAGGAUCGAAGGCGAUCAGAUACCGCCCUAGUUCUGACCCUAAACGAUGCCAACCAUCAAUCCGCGUGACGCACCCUAUCUAACGGGCUCGGCGGGCAGCUCCCUUCUUCCGGGAAACCAGAGUUUUUGGGUUCCGGGGGGAGUCUGGUUGCAAAGCUGAAACUUAAAGGAAUUGACGGAAAGGCACCACCAGGCGUGGCAGCUGCGGCUUAAUUUGACUCAACACGGGCCAUCUUACCAGGCCAGCACUCUGGCAUGAUUGACAGAUUGAGAGCUCUUUCUCGAUUCAGUGGACGGUGGUGUAUGGCCGUUCUUAGUUGGUGGAGUGAUCUGUCUGGUUAAUUCCGAUAACGAACGAGACUCUCCUCUGCUAAAUAGUCGGCUGGAUCUUGAAUUGCUGAGUUGCUCUUUGCCUCGUUCGCGCGUUUCUGCGCUCACGCGUUUUGCGGUCGCCGCUUUGGCUUCACGGUCGGGCGGUGGUGUCUUGCGGGCGCGUGUCUGUGUGGUGCGUUGCGGGCGUGUGUCUUUGGCACUCCAAGUCCGUCGGCUCACACCCACUGAUGUGGGUUGUGUGGUACAAGUUCUUCUUAGAGAGAUUGACGGCUCUGAAGCCGUACGAGAAUGAGAGCAAUAACAGGUCUGUGAUGCCCUCAGAUGCCCUGGGCCGCACGCGCGCUACAAUGCUGGACACAGCAGGUCUAGCCUGCUCCGAGAGGAGCGGGUAACCCUGUCAGAGUCCUGAGUUGUGUAUCGGGCAUCACUUCGUGGUGCAUUGGGCGUGCUUGGGCCUGGGGCUUGCAAUUCUUUCCCACAAACAAGGAAUGCCUUGUAGUGGCGAGUCACUGAGCUCGCUGUGACUCAGUCCCUGCCCUUUGUACACACCGCCCGUCGCUACUACCGAUUGGGUGUACCAGUGAGAACCUUGGACUGGCGUCCGGCGCCUCGUGCACCUGGGUCUGACGGAAAGAGGUUCGAACUGGUGCACUUAGAGGAAGUAAAAGUCGUAACAAGGUUUCCGUAGGUGAACCUGCGGAAGGAUCAUUA